This 250-nucleotide ribosomal RNA is filed under the name uncultured bacterium. RNAcentral's name for it is "partial 16S ribosomal RNA". It matches the Rfam family "Bacterial small subunit ribosomal RNA", at positions 355 to 602 of the family's 1533-position model. The record is from RNAcentral.
UGAGGAAUAUUGGUCAAUGGACGCAAGUCUGAACCAGCCAUGCCGCGUGGAGGAUGAAGGUCCUCUGGAUUGUAAACUCCUUUUAUAAAAGAAGAAACCCCGGUAUUCUUACCGGGUUGACGGUACUUUAUGAAUAAGCACCGGCUAACUCCGUGCCAGCAGCCGCGGUAAUACGGAGGGUGCAAGCGUUAUCCGGAUUCACUGGGUUUAAAGGGAGCGUAGGUGGGUUGGUAAGUCAGUGGUGAAAUCC